CUGCGNGUGAAGCGGCAAAAGCUCAAAUUUGAAAUCUGACGUCUGAUCGGGCGUUCCGAGUUGUAAUUUGGAGGAGCGGCUUCGGGAGCGGCACCGUCUCAAGUUCCGUGGAACCGGACGUCACAGAGGGUGAGAAUCCCGUGUCUGGACGGGCUAGCCUGUUCCCAUGCGAAGUGCUUCCGACGAGUCGAGUUGUUUGGGAAUGCAGCUCAAAAUGGGUGGUAAAUUUCAUCUAAAGCUAAAUAUUGGCGAGAGACCGAUAGCGCACAAGUAGAGUGAUCGAAAGAUGAAAAGCACUUUGAAAAGAGAGUUAAAAAGUACGUGAAAUUGUUGAAAGGGAAGCGCUUGAGAUCAAAACUCGGUCUUUGGUGAAGCGUGCGAUUUAGCUCGUAGCCUCUCCCUUUGACCGGGCCAGCAUCGGUUUUGAUGGCGGGAGAAACGGUAGAGGAAUGUGGCUCUCUUUGGAGAGUGUUAUAGCCAAUACCACAUACCGCCAGUCGAGACCGAGGACCCCCCGCGCUACGGCUAGGAUGCUGGCGUAAUGGUCUUCAGCGACCCG
This 559-nucleotide ribosomal RNA is filed under the name Octospora hygrohypnophila. Its description in RNAcentral is "partial large subunit ribosomal RNA". It matches the Rfam family "Eukaryotic large subunit ribosomal RNA", at positions 87 to 651 of the family's 3401-position model. The record is from RNAcentral. Lineage: Eukaryota; Fungi; Ascomycota; Pezizomycetes; Pezizales; Pyronemataceae.